AAGGGAGACCUAAUUCAGGUAGGAGACGAAAAAAAAGUAGUCCCAACCAAGAAUCAAUCCCAAAAGGUCGGAGCGAGGCGAAAUUGGCUUUCAAACUAGGUUCUGGGUUCACACAAGACCUGAAUCAGGAACAAGGGCUAUUAGCUCAGGUGGUUAGAGCGCACCCCUGAUAAGGGUGAGGUCCCUGGUUCGAGUCCAGGAUGGCCCACCUGCACAGGUGGCAAAAACAAGAGAAGCGAGGAAUCAGCACCUUAUCUUAUUUAUAUAUAUAUAGGAGAGAAUGCUGGCUCUGAGUAAAGAGUCCAGAGGAACCUUGAAAACUGCAUAGAGCUAGGUGAAAAAGCCAAAAAAGAAGACCGCAA
This 362-nucleotide transfer RNA is filed under the name Microcystis aeruginosa. RNAcentral describes it as "16S-23S ribosomal RNA intergenic spacer". The stretch from base 135 to 208 matches the Rfam family "tRNA". Lineage: Bacteria; Bacillati; Cyanobacteriota; Cyanophyceae; Chroococcales; Microcystaceae. The record is from RNAcentral.